UCGCUGGAUGGGGAUGGAGUCCCCCAUAACCGCCGACAGGCUGAUGACCCCUACUGCGUC
RNAcentral lists this non-coding RNA (60 nucleotides) under Sphingomonas sp. RNAcentral's name for it is "Fluoride sequence". It matches the Rfam family "Fluoride riboswitch aptamer (crcB RNA motif)". Lineage: Bacteria; Pseudomonadati; Pseudomonadota; Alphaproteobacteria; Sphingomonadales; Sphingomonadaceae. The record is from RNAcentral. RNAcentral also lists the same sequence under 1 other name.